This is an RNA transcript of Ziziphus jujuba (common jujube), 2090 nucleotides long. RefSeq lists it as uncharacterized. The record is from RefSeq and is a predicted model, not a curated record. NCBI's taxonomy places the organism in Eukaryota, Viridiplantae, Streptophyta, Magnoliopsida, Rosales, Rhamnaceae. The transcript is spliced from 3 exons.
AUAGAGUACUUCAUAAGAAAAAGUUAUUGUCAUUUCGCACUAGGAGUCCUCGAGAAGUUUUCAAUUAGCUUGAAACUUCGACCUUGGUCAUUUUAUCUGGCAGGGUUGCAGAAACUUAAAACCAUAUUGCCUUGGGUAUCUGUCCGAAAAGCUAGCUUGAGCUUUAGCUUUAGAUUAAUUGGCUUCUUCUUCACAGGGAUUUCCUUUUUUUGUUUCUUUUGGUUGUUGUUGUUGGAAAAAUUCUUCUGAGGGAAUUAAUUAAGAGAGAAAAGAUGUUUUUAGGUUAGUUUAGUUGUGUGCCUUUCUACUUUCAAAUUAAUUUUGGGGUAUUCUUUUUUAAUAAUUAUGGUUGUGGAUGUCGGAGGAGCUGCUCUUGGAGCAGCAAUGGGAUUUCUGCUUACUGCUUUGGAAGAAGUCACCGAAAAGAAUGUAAUGUUCAAGCCCUCCCUCAAAAGCCUAACGGCAACGUUAGAAAUUUUGGAAGUCCUGAUUGAUGAUGUGGAAAAGUUGGACAAAAAACUGGAAAAUUGGGGCGAAGUACCGACUCAAAGACAGGAAGAAUCAGCAUAUUAUGAGUCACAGAUAAAGGAAGGGGAGAAGCACGUUCGCAAGUGCUCCGAGGUUUGUCGCUGUAACAUUUUCAAGAAGUCUUAUUACACGGACAAGCUGCUGGAAUUGGAUCGGACUCUGAAGUUGUUGAUACUAGCCGGAUUCUUAGCGAGGUAUUCAAAGGAAAUUUUGAUCUUGGAGCACGAGAUACUCGACUCGCAGAAAGCAAUUUCGGAUUCCUUAACAAAUGUUUUAAAUGAUAUUUCGAACAAGAUGGGGGAAAUAUCCGCAAAGAUCAAGGGAGAACGAGACACCAAUAGUGUAGAACCUGGAGAUCAGGUUAUAUCAAUGCUUUCAAGUCAUACUCCACAUCCACCCCUGAAUAUUGAGCAAGAGAUAAAGCCUGUGCUGCGUGCACCUCCAACUAAACCUUCACCUCCACCUCUAACUAAACCUUCAUCUCCACCUCCACCUCCAUUCACACGGAAUUACGACACCGAAAGUCACCAUCACAAAUUCCAAGUGGAAAGUGCUGGAGGGGCAACUGUGACAAUGAAACCCGUUAUAGAUAAGGUAAUAUUCACGCUAGGAGAAAGUGCUGGAGGGACAACUGUUGUUACAAUGAAACCCCAUAUAGAUAAGGUAAUAGCCACGCUAGGAGUUCUGGAGCCACUGAUCUCACAGAUUGAGAAGUUUCACACGGAGCUGGCUCUGCCAAAUGGGCAAACAGUAACAGAUCUUAAGUCAGAAAUAGAGGAGGCAGAAAAGCUAAUUCAAAAGUGCUCCAAUGCUUCACGGUUUAACUUACUGAAAAAGAAACAUUACAAGGAUAAGUUGCUUGCAAUGGAUGAGACUCUAUUCAGGUGGGUUGAGAUACUACAGAUGCAGUUGGCAAGUGAUGUAAAGAGGAGCUUGGUUCUCGUAAGGGAAAUACAUGCCCAUAUCGUUGAACAUGGAGGCAUUGAUGAUGUGGUACUUAAUCAGAUUCUUUUGAGGGUUCCGUCCAUUAAUGUAAGCUCAAGUCCCACACGGUCCCCCCGGAGGGUAUAUGAGGGAAGAGCCUCCUAGCACAAAAGUUAUCUGGCUGAAUCAAAUACAAAAAGAAUACCAUUUUUCCGUGUCUAAUUGAGUUUCAGGGAAUUGCUAAGGUCAGGACCACACUGACCGUGUUUCAUCCGGAUCAAUGGCAAAUUUUGUAAUAAAAUAGAAAAUUAUGUUUAUUUUAGUGUAGCCGACUAGAUGUAGAAGAACGAAUGACAAGAAAAAAAGACAAGCAUCAUGAGGAGUUAAAAAAAAUAAAAUUUAUGGGGGCGGUACUAUGGGGAAGAGAAUAGAGAAAAGUAUACACCUGCCAAGCUGUUUAAUGAGAUUUGCAAAAAUUCAAGAUAGAAAAAAAAAAAAAAAAGGCUAACGCAGAGAAAGAAGGGUUUUUGGUGAGGGUAAGAAGCCUUUGCAUAUGAUGCAAUGAUGCAGAAGUUACAACUCGUUUGAUGUUGGGUUUUACUUUUAUGAAUGGUUCACUUGAAAUUGUGAAAUUUUUU